ACGCACGCUGGCGGCAGGCUUCACCCCUGCAAGUCGAACGCCCCGCACGGGGAGUGGCAGCCGGGUGAGUAACGCGUGGGAACAUACCCUUUUCUACGGAAUAGCUCUGGGAAACUGGAAUUAAUACCGUAUACGCCCUACGGGGGAAAGAUUUAUCGGGGAAGGAUUGGCCCGCGUUGGAUUAGCUAGUUGGUGGGGUAAAGGCCUACCAAGGCGACGAUCCAUAGCUGGUCUGAGAGGAUGAUCAGCCACAUUGGGACUGAGACACGGCCCAAACUCCUACGGGAGGCAGCAGUGGGGAAUAUUGGACAAUGGGCGCAAGCCUGAUCCAGCCAUGCCGCGUGAGUGAUGAAGGCCUUAGGGUUGUAAAGCUCUUUCACCGAUGAAGAUAAUGACGGUAGUCGGAGAAGAAGCCCCGGCUAACUUCGUG
RNAcentral lists this ribosomal RNA (430 nucleotides) under uncultured bacterium. RNAcentral's name for it is "partial 16S ribosomal RNA". It matches the Rfam family "Bacterial small subunit ribosomal RNA", at positions 29 to 507 of the family's 1533-position model. The record is from RNAcentral.